AGUGAACGCUGGCGGCAGGCCUGACACAUGCAAGUCGAGCGGCAGCGCGGGGGCAACCCUGGCGGCGAGCGGCGGACGGGUGAGGAAUUCGUCGGAAUCUGCCUUUUUGUGGGGGAUAACGUAGGGAAACUUACGCUAAUACCGCAUACGUCCUACGGGAGAAAGUGGGGGACCGCAAGGCCUCACGCAGAAAGAUGAGCCGACGACCGAUUAGCUAGUUGGUGGGGUAAAGGCCCACCAAGGCGACGAUCGGUAGCUGGUCUGAGAGGAUGAUCAGCCACACUGGGACUGAGACACGGCCCAGACUCCUACGGGAGGCAGCAGUGGGGAAUAUUGGACAAUGGGCGCAAGCCUGAUCCAGCCAUGCCGCGUGUGUGAAGAAGGCCUUCGGGUUGUAAAGCACUUUUGUCCGGAAAGAAAUCCCUGGAGCUAAUACCUUCGGGGGAUGACGGUACCGGAAGAAUAAGCACCGGCUAACUUCGUG
This 484-nucleotide ribosomal RNA is filed under the name uncultured bacterium. RNAcentral describes it as "partial 16S ribosomal RNA". It matches the Rfam family "Bacterial small subunit ribosomal RNA", at positions 29 to 507 of the family's 1533-position model. The record is from RNAcentral.